CUGGGUGGAUGAAAUAUAGAAUUAGUUCUAAUUAUUAUGACGCUUAUUAGUUCAAGAAAUUUUGCUCCAACCCGUUGAUGAUAUAAAAGAUCAUCUGGUAGAAGAAAUAUAUGUAAUUUCACUUGUUGAUGAUGCUUGUUAGUUCCAAUUAUUAUGACGCUUAUUAGUUAGUGAGGCUUCUUGCUAUGGAACAUACCCAACCAGGUUUGCGUCCCUACAUCAACAUGGGUGCUUGCAUUUGAAUUUAUCUUAGUAAUUAAUAUCACUAUUGUUCCAGUGGUAGGUGAUGUGUCCACCGAUGAUGAGAUACUUGUGGUGACUAAACCAAUCUCAAGAUUAGUGUUUGAAAAAAAUCUAUAAAAUCAAAUUAAUCUAUUAAAAUCCACCACAAAUACAUGUUGAUAGUCCAUUUUUUAGUAUUAUUCUAGUUAUUAAUAUAUUUUCUAUGAACUUCAUCAGUAUCAGAAUAUUUUGAGUUAUGAUAAAAUUAGAACAAUUUUUUACAUUUUAAAAUAUUUAGAGUAGAUCGUACACAUACAUGUAUCAAAUCGAGAUGUGAACUCUGCAAUCUGACUGAGAUGUGUUGGCGGCAACUAGCGCGCCAGUUUGAACCACAAGCGCAUGGAUCAGUUGUAGCUUUUUUCUUAGAGUAUUCCAUCCAAGGUUUAUCAAUUCGUGGAUUGACAUCGAACUGGCUACGGUUUUCUAUCUAAUCUAACGGAUCAAUCCUAACAUGAUAACAUGAAGCAUCGAUUGUGUAUAAGAGAUAAACCUGAUGUAGAGAUGAAUGAUAAGAAUACAAGUCGAUCACAUCCACAGAUACAUAUGACAUAAUGCUGCCAUGGGCAACAAGAACCUAUCACCUUCUUGUUGUAGUUCUAGCCAAUAAGCAAGCACACCAUGCAUCUCAUCCAAAGCAAUCUUUAUACUACUACCUCAGGUCAACCUACCCAAAACCCCCACCUUACACGGAACCGGAUCUUGUCACAAUCCCUCCUAUCGGCGUAGGCAGUUUAAGGGUCUAGCUAUCAUGAAGGGUCAACAUACUAGAUCUAAUCACCAUGAUUACACAAAGCAUGAUAGAUAGUCUAAUCCGAAACUAUACUAGGAACAAGCAUAUCCACGACAGAUACAAAAGCAUAAAAGGAGGCAAUGAGUCGCUAACAGAUUGGAUGACAUGAAGACAUUGCGCACAUGAUAGAUGUAUUAGAUCAUCACCUCCGAGUACAUACCUUCGAUGAUCCACUACUAGCUCCUGAACUCCAC
This 1266-nucleotide long non-coding RNA is filed under the name Setaria viridis. Its description in RNAcentral is "long non-coding RNA (SVIR_LNC007091)". The record is from RNAcentral. Lineage: Eukaryota; Viridiplantae; Streptophyta; Magnoliopsida; Poales; Poaceae.